Molecule: non-coding RNA, 7878 nt
Organism: Podarcis lilfordi (Lilford's wall lizard)
Lineage: Eukaryota; Metazoa; Chordata; Lepidosauria; Squamata; Lacertidae
Source: the annotation of a GenBank genome assembly
CAAUGUCGUUGGAAACCUGUUUCUGCCAGCACCCAGACCUGUUCUUCCAGAGUUCCUGACCACGCCCGGCUUCUCGCUCUGGACCCCGCUUCACCCUUGGUGGACAGUCUCCAGACCCUUGACCCAGGACCAAACUCUGACCACGCCUCACGGUAACCUCCCCCCGGGACCAUCACAAAUAAUAAUUAUUAUUUUUAUUUAUUUAUACCCCGCCCAUCUGGCUGGGCUUCCACAGCCACUCUGGGCAGCUUCCCAAAAAAUAUUAAUAUACCGUAAUACAUCAAACAUUAAAAGCUUCCCUAAACAGGGCUGCCUUCAGAUGUCUUCUAAAAGUCUGGUAGUUGUCGUUCUCUUUGACAUCUGGUGGGAGGGCGUUCCACAGGGCGGGCGCCACUACCAAGAAGGCCCUCUGCCUGGUUCCCUGUAACUUGGCUUCUCGCAGUGAGGGAACUGCCAGAAGGCCCUCAGCGCUGAACCUCAGUGUCCAGGUAGAACGAUGGGGGUGGAGACGCUCCUUCAGAUAUACUGGACCGAGGCCUGAAGAGCAGGUUGGGUGGAGCAAUUUGCAAUGGCCAUUGUUUGAAUUGGACUCAGGUCAUACUUGGGGGCCCACUGUAUGAGACAGGAUGUUGAACUAGAUGAGGUUUUGGUCUAAAGCAGCAGGGCUAAUCUUAUAUUUUUGUUAUUUUUCGGGGGGGAAGCAUAUAGGUGGUGCUGUGGUCUAAACCACUGAGCCUCUUGCGCUUGCUGAUCAGAAGGUCAGCGGUUCAAAUCCCCGCGAUGGGGUGAGCUCCCAUUGCUCUGUCCCAGCUCUUGCCAACCUAGCAGUUUGAAAGCAUGCCAGUGCGAGUAGAUAAAUAGGUACCACUGCAGCAGUAAGGUAAACGGUGUUUCCAUGUGCUCUGGUUUCCGUCACAGUGUUCCGUUGCACCAGAAGUGGUUUAGUCAUGCUGGCCACAUGAACCGGAAAGCUGUCUGUGGACAAACACCGGCUCCUUCAGCCUGAAAGCAAAAUGAGCGCCGCAACCCCAUAGUCACUUUUGACUGGACUUAACCAUCCAGGGGUCCUUUACCUUUUACCUUAUACACCUUGAUAUCACUUGGAUUAUGAUGGUCAAAUUAGUAUAACACUGACGGUCCACGUAUUGAAUACGAUUUAUCUUUCUAUACUAGAUUCUGCUCAUUCUGGACGUAAAAUGUUGUUUGGCUGUAUACAGAGUCAUUUUCUAACACAACAGGAACUCCAGACAUUGUUGGACUGCACUCCCAUCAUUCUUGACCAUUGGCCACGCUGUUUGGGGUUGGACAGGAGUUGGAGUCCAACAACGUAUGGUAAAUGACAGGUUCCGCAGCUCUGUUCUAAUGGAUAGAACCUUCCUUAAAUAGCAACCCAAGUUUUGGCUAUUUUCAAGAUGUUCUAGAGCUGAAAUGCAAGUUCACAUAAACUCCAACCACCUGCUUGCUUUAUUUCAACAACCCAUGGGUCUGCCACCAUCAUGUCUAAUUAGAGUUAGAGCUUUACAGCUCAGUCAUAUUCUUACUCAUAAGUAAGGCCCACUAUAUUCAAUGGAGCUCUCCCCCAUGUCAUUGUGGCUAGGAUUAAAGCAGAGACAGGGGUCAUGUGGCCCUCCAAAUCUUAAUAGACUCCAACUCUCACUGCUCUCAGCCACAUCUGGAGAGCAGUGGGUUUCCCAUCCCUGUAUUACAGAUUUAGGCCAGCUUUACAUAACUUUGCUUAUAAAAUAAUUCAUCUUAAUGCCCUGUUCUUUUAAAGGCAAUAUACUUAUUUGAGUUACUCAUACACUUACGUCUUUUGUUAAAAUAGUUGGGGGGAGGGCUUCAGAAGUUGUAUGGGUCUUUUAAAAGUGUUUUUUCUGAAUUCUCUAAUCCGGGACAGAAGUUGCAUUUUAUAGUGAAAGAGCAUUUCUUGUUCAAACAUUUCAAAGUCCAGUCUGUUCGUUCAACAUUAUUGCCUCCCACUGGACUACCGUUUAGUUGAAGGAGCAUAGGAAUAGGAACAAGACACUUGCAGACUUCAGAGCUCAAAUGUUCACUGGGAGAGACAAACUGAUGGAAGAGUAUCUGACAGAAACACCCCACAUGAGCAAUGUAAAGGUAAAGGUAAAGGGACCCCUGACCAUUAGGUCCAGUCGUGACCGACUCUGGGGUUGCGGCGCUCAUCUCGCUUUAUUGGCCAAGGGAGCCGGCGUACAGCUUCCAGGUCAUGUGGCCAGCAUGACUAAGCCACUUCUGGUGAACUAGAGCAGCGCAAGGAAACGCCAUUUACCUUCCCGCCAGAGCGGUACUUAUUUAUCUACUUGCACUUUGACAUGCUUUCAAACUGCUAGGUGGGCAGGAGCAGGGACCGAGCAACGGGAGCUCACCCCGUCGCAGGAAUUCGAACCGCCGACCUUCUGAUCGGCAAUUCCUAGGCUCUGUGGUUUAACCCACAGCGCCACCCGCAUCCCACACAAUGAGCAAUGUAGAAGGCUGCUUAUACCACACAAAACCUGCUAACCAUUUCCUAACAAGCAGUUUUUGUUAAACCAAACAGUUAAACCAAAUUUAACCAACCAAUAGACUUGGGGAAUCACUUCAAGUUGGAGGAAAUUGGUUGAGCCGUUUCAGAACUGUGUAACACACACAAAAUUGGACCCAGGCAGCCGACAAUUUGUUGCUUGUGUAUGCGAUUGUGUUGGCUGUGCAUGUUUCAUCUUUUGAUCAUUGAUGUUGCUCAAGCAGUAAAAUUGCAGCAACCAACCAUCACUCUUCUUAAGUUCAUUGUUCAUCAAAGUGUUGCUCAAGAACCCUUGACAGGUGGUUCUCAUUAACUUCAAUGAGAACCCAAUGCAUGCACCAGAAGAACAAAUUUGGUCUCCAGACUCUGCCAGCCUAAAUAUAUAUUAUUUGGUAGGGGCGGUUUGAGAGAGCCAGAGUGUUUUGUUAAAAUAUGUUGAAAAAGACAUGCUGGCAACGUUUUUAGAGAACGCGUCUAUCUGUCGGUGGAACAGUGUAGCUGGAAGAUGUUUAAAUGUACGUCCACACAGAAUGGUUUAAUUUAAGCUGAAGAAUUUAGUGGUCAUCAGUUUGGAACACUUUCCCUGAUGAAUGAGUACCAGGGAGAUUCAAAAAGACAGUGCACAUAAAUUUAACGGAUUCGGGGAAAGAACAAAGAGUUCAAGGAGAAGGUGUUGGAGGGAGACUCAGGUGGUGUCAAGCUGAAGGAAAUGUAUUCUCCUGUUUUCUUUCAAAGAGAGAUCUAGCAGCCAUAACAAAAAGAGAGGGAAUGCUAUAAAAAGUGGGGGGGGGGAGGUUUCUACUAUUGAAAUACAGUGUACCUCUGGUUAAGAACUUAAUUCAUUCCGGAGGUCCGUUCUUAACCUGAAACUGUUCUUAACCUGAGGUACCACUUUAGCUAAUGUGGCCUCCUGCUGCCACUGCACCGCUGCUGCACAAUUUCUGUUCUCAUCCUGAAGCAAAGUUCUUAACCCGAGGUACUAUUUCUGGGUUAGCGGAGUCUGUAACCUGAAGCGUCUGUAACCUGAAGCGUCUGUAACCUGAGGUACCACUGUACUGUUGACUUCUCUUUCUUUUCCUCUCUCCCGGCCUGGACCCCAGUCAACCUCCUAGGACAACGUACAAUAUAUUUUAGAAAGCUGUUUGUCUAAGGUAUCAUAACUGUUUUUUUCAUUAUGGUCCCUGCGAUCAAGGAUCAGCUUUGGGGCAAAGUUUUGAUACAACUGGACACCCUCUUGAACCAAGAUGGCAGACUGAUCCUUUCAAACCUGUGUUGAUAUUUUGGUUUCUUAGACUUCCUGAGCAACGCUGGUUAGGCAGCUGCAAGUAUACUACAAUUCUAGGUAGACGAUCACAUGAUUUGUUCUUCCAUUGCAAGUCCAUAUCCGAUAUAUAAAUCCAAUAAAUCGAGCUGUUUCAAGUUCAUUUUUUUCUACAAGGCAUCUGUUUUUGAAAAUCGAAGUCAGCAAUUGGGGCCGGGGGAGGGAGCGGUGCAAGCAGUUAGUCUUGCCUAGUCACAAAAUAGCCUCAGACUGGAUAAGCCACAGUAAGCCUCAGGCUUGCAUCUUCCCUUAUUACCUUUCCUUGCUCAGCUGUGGCUGUAAGGAGGUGAUUGGAAGCUUUUGAUUCCAUUUUAGAUUAAGCACAAUUUAGCAUGGCAUUCAAGUUCUUAAUUCUGAUUAAUCUUAACCGGGCAUAGGCAAACUCAGCCUUCCAGAUGUUUUGGGACUACAACUCCCAUCAUCCCUAGCUAACAGGACCAGUGGUCAGGGAUGAUGGGGGUUGUAGUCCCAAAACAUCUGGAGGGCCAAGUUUGCCUAUGCCUGAUCUUAACUGUGGGUAGUCUAAACAAGCCAGCCUUCAUAGUUUGAAGUCGCCUUGUUUCCAUUAACCAUCGUUUAAACUAGCCACAGUUUGUUGAGGUUCAGAUGUCAGAACAAGCUGCAGUUCCUGAAGUCCCACUUGCAGAGACACCAGAAGAGAAGCAUGGACAAACGGACAGACUGACAGACAGACACAUCAAUCUAUCAAACUUCUGUGCUAUCAAGUUCUCCCUUUUUGUGUGUUCAGGACCAUGUUGCUCAUGAAUUUGAUACAGGUGUACCUUCCAAAUAGGAAGCUGCAAAGUAGUAUUCCUUUGGGUGGAAAAUAUGCAAGAGUUAUAUAUUACACUGAUAUAUUUAUUAUAUCACAAUCCCUCUUGCUGUCUUACUGUCUGCUUUGAGUGCCAAAGCGUCUGUUAUUUCAUAGAGUUUCCAUAUUUUCACUUUUGAGAAAGUUGUCAGCUGUUCAAAGUCAGAAUUUUCACUGCCCCUCUUUAUCACAGCUGAGCCAGAAAGCAUUUUCUCCAGAUUAUUUGUAGGCCGGAUAUAAGAGCAACUCAAAAGCACCAGUGUUAAGGCAUCAGGUAUGUCGAUAUCAUAUAAUUCACAUUAUCAUUUCAAUAUUAUGUUGACCUGGGCUGCAUCAUAGAGUUCUGGUUUCAGCUCUACAGCACCAUCUGGUGUCACAGUGUUAUAACACAUUUAUAACGUUUUAUUUUUACUAAUGUAGCUGAGUCCCUGUGCUCUGUUCACACAUUACUCAUUUCUAGGACAUAAUUGUGUGGAGUGUGGAGCAAGGACAUGCUUUUAGUCCUGCUUCCAGAGUCUCAUCUCCCCCCUUUCAACAAUUGCAUUAGAUGUGGCUGCCCAUCAUUUGACACCUUCCUCCGGUGGAUCAGGCAGGGUCACUUUUAGUUUUCUGUCUUCUCUCUAGGCCACUCAGCAGAAUAACAGCCAGAGCAAAGGCAACUCUUUCAUCCCAACACCACAACCAUUUGCAAACAUAAAUUCCCAGAAAGACAAAUUUCCAUUUUUAUCAGAUUACAAUUUUUUGUCUAAAAAGGGGGCUCUCUAAAGUAUCUAAAUGUUGGAGAUGCAAUAGGGAUAAUGCUUCUCUAAAACACAUAGUUUUUUUCAUUGUCCUACAUGGAAGGAUUUUUGGCAGAAGGUAACUGAAACCAUCAACAGAACUGUAUGCAACAACCUUACAUUUACAGAGCAAAAUAUCCUCUUGAAUUAUGUGCCCAGUGCAUGGAACCUUACAAAAGGACAAUACGAGCAGACUCUCCGUGCCCUUACCACAGCAAAAAGACUGAUACUGAUGAACUGGAAAUAAAAAUAAAAAUGCGGCUCCCUUCUAUAAUUGGAUUGAAGACUCAUACAAACUCGCAACAUAUGAACAACUUGCAUAUAAACACAGACUUGCCAUGGACAAAUAUUUGGAAUCCAUUCUUACAAAUACUGUGAUAGGUUAAGAUCUGGCGAAGUACAAUAACAACUUUGUAAAAUAUACAGUUUUGGGUGUGUGUGUCCCCCUAUUUUCCCUUCUAUGUGUGUUCAGUUUCUUUUUUUCUUUUUCUCUCUCUUAUUUACGUCUCAUCAUGUUCUGUUGUUGUUUAGUCUUUUAGUCGUGUCCGACUCUUCGUGACCCCAUGGAUCAGAGCACGCCUGGCAUUCGUGUCUUCCAUUGACUCCUGCAGUUUGGUCAGACUCAUGUUGGUAGCUUCGAGAACAUUGUCCAACCACCUCGUCCUCUGUCACCCCCUUCUCCUUGUGCCCUCAAUCUUUCCCAACAUCAGUGUCUUUUCCAAGGAGUCUUCUCUUCUCAUGAGGUGGCCAAAGUAUUGGAGCCUCAGCUUCACGAUCUGUCCUUCCAAUGCGCACUCAGGGCUGAUUUCCUUAAGAAUGGAGAGGUUUGAUCUUCUUGCAGUCCAUGGGACUCUCAAGAGUCUCCUCCAGCACCAUAAUUCAAAAGCAUCAAUUCUUCGGUGAUCAGCCUUCUUUAUGGUCCAGCUCUCACUUCCCUACAUUGAUAAUAGGAAAACCAUAGCUUUAACUAUACGGACCUCUGUCGGCAAGGCGAUGUCUCUGCUUUUUAAGAUGCUGUCAUUGCUUUUCUCCCAAGAAGCAGGCAUCUUUUAAUUACGUGACUGCUGUCACCAUCUGCAGUGAUCAUGGAACCCAAGAAAGUAAAAUCUCUCACUGCCUCCAUUUCUUUCCCUUCUAUUUGCCAGGAGGUGAUGGGCCCAGUGGCCAUGAUCUUCGUUUUUUUGAUGUUGAGCUUCAGACCAUAUUUUGCGCUCUCCUCUUUCACCCUCAUUAAAGGUUCUUUAAUUCCUCUUCACUUUCUGCCAUCAAGGUUCUGUCAUCUGCAUAUCUGAGGUUGUUGAUAUUUCUUCUGGUAAUCUUAAUUCCGCCUUGGGAUUCAUCCAGUCCAGCCUUUUGCGAAAGGCUGAACUCACCAUGUUUAGUGCACAUAUAAUUAAGUACUUUUUGAAUUUUCAGUAAAGAUGUUUGAAAAAAAGGGGGGGACAUUACAAAUUUCCAUUUUUACCAGAUGCUGCUGAAGGACAUGCCUGAUAUCUGGGAUGCAUCAGAGCACAGGUGAGCUUUCUCACCUGUCCCUCCUGGCAAGCAGUCAGCAAUGACUUCACUGCUAGGUCAGGUAAGAGGGUCGCCCACGACUGCACUGUCCCCUGCUGCCCUGUUGUCGCUAUGAAAAGCACCACCUAUUUAGUUCUGCAUAUCAAACUGUGCCAGGGAAGAACAGGUUGGCUGGAACCUCCAUAUAUGAGAUACCUUCCACUUUAAUGGGACACUAAAAAAAAAACCUGCUUCAAAAUGAAGAGGAAAUGUACUAUAAUUUUGCCUCGUGUGCAUUAAUCCUGUUAAGUAGGGCCUCUUAAGGCCUGGUGGAAUUGCACUUUUAUCAAUGAGGGUACUAUGUGACCUUUUUUUUUACAAAUUCCACUGCUGUAGGAAAAGUCUGUUUGCUUUAAAGGCUAGAUUAAGCUAAGGGUCCCCCCCGCCCUGCUUUGCGCACACAGAAAUCACCAUAUUUAGGGAAAUAAAAGUUGGCAUAGUAGAACUAUGGAACCACAACAGUUUUAAAAAUAUUCAGACAGUUGAAGUAUCUCAGAAACUAUUCUUUUAAAUAUGGGCUUCAUUAUUCCAUGCUGCUGGGCUACCUACAGCUGGAGGAAAGAUGUCCAAGGCAGAGUGGAUGGUUCUCAGGGAUCAUAAGUGGUUUUCCAAAAUGAACAUGGGAUUCGUUUUGUGCCUCCUUCCCAGAUUAGAAUUUCAAUGUGCAAACACAUUCCAGGGAUUUGCCAUGAAAUAAGGCUCUCUUCUUAAAUGCCAGGAAACCAAUCAGCAAGCAGAGUCAAGAACUAUCCACAAUUUCAUUCCACACAGCUUCCUGGGGAGCAAUUUAGUGGUCCUCAUUUAUGGACACAUAGGUAACUCAAUUUUGAAAAUGUCUGCUGUUUAUUAUAAAGUUACAUUUACAGGCCACUGUAGCCAUGAGCACUAAGGACAC